CCAGUGAGAAUGCCCUUAUAAAGCACCAAGGAGCAGGUAUCAGGCACAACCCGUUAGCCCAAAACACCUUGCUACGCCACACCCACACGGGCACCCAGCAGUGAUAAACAUUAAGCUAUGAGUGAAAGCCAACUUAAGCUCGACUUAGUUAUGAUUAUUCGGGUCGGUAAACCUCGUGCCAGCCACCGCGGUUAUACGAGGGACCCAAAACAACGGACACCGGCGUAAAUUGUGACUAGAGCACCUACUUUUGGAAGAUAAAUAAAAACUCAACCGUAAAACCUGAGCCAAAAGAAAUAUAUUCUCCCAACUACAAAGGAACUUGAACCCACGAAGACUAAGAAACAAACUAGGAUUAGAUACCCUACUAUGCUUAGUUGUCAACACGAUACCAAAAAACAUCGGUAUCCGCCAGAAAAUUACACGCGAAAAGCUUAAAACUCAAAGGACUUGGCGGUGCUCCGUACUCGCCUUAGAGGAGCCUGUCCUAUAAUCGAUAACCCACGCUUUACCUUACCAUUUUUUGUAAAACAGCCUAUAUACCGCCGUCGCAAACUUACCCCGUGAGGGCAUAACAGUAAGUAAAAUAGUAACGCACGAAUACGUCAGGUCAAGGUGUAGCUAAUAAGAUGGAAGAGAUGGGCUACAUUUUCUAAAACAGAAUAUACGGCAAAGAACAUUGAAACAUGCUCUAAAAGGUGGAUUUAAUAGUAAGAUA
This 718-nucleotide ribosomal RNA is filed under the name Liolaemus laurenti. Its description in RNAcentral is "partial 12S ribosomal RNA". It matches the Rfam family "Bacterial small subunit ribosomal RNA", at positions 318 to 1345 of the family's 1533-position model. The record is from RNAcentral. Lineage: Eukaryota; Metazoa; Chordata; Lepidosauria; Squamata.